GCUCAGUGAGGACAGAAAUCUCACGUUGAGGAUAAGGCCAAAAGCUCAAUUUACUGUGCCUUUUUGUACUAGGAUCAGUUACGAAAGUAAGGCCUAACGAUCCCUAAAUAGCCUCAGGUGCGUGAGGAUUGGGGUGACAGACAAGUUACCUCCGGGACAACUGGCUUGUGGCUGCUAAGAGAUCAAAUCAACGCAGCUUUUUGAUUCUUCGAUGUCGGCUCUUCCUAUCCUAGUGAUGUACAAGUUGCUAAGGGUCGGAUUGUUCACCCGUAUUAGGGAUCGUGAGCUGGGUUUAGACCGUCAUGAGCCAGGUUUGUUUUAUCCUACUGGAUAUAGCAUCAUGAUAGUAGAUUGAUUUAGUACGAGAGGAACUGUUGAUUAUGGCCUCUGGUUAGCGAUUAUCGGAAA
Molecule: non-coding RNA, 408 nt
Filed under: Trichomonas vaginalis G3
Lineage: Eukaryota; Parabasalia; Trichomonadida; Trichomonadidae
Description: Eukaryotic large subunit ribosomal RNA
Rfam family: Eukaryotic large subunit ribosomal RNA
Source: Rfam by way of RNAcentral